This 915-nucleotide long non-coding RNA is filed under the name Callithrix jacchus (white-tufted-ear marmoset). RNAcentral's name for it is "lncRNA (ENSCJAG00000078980.1)". Lineage: Eukaryota; Metazoa; Chordata; Mammalia; Primates; Cebidae. The record is from RNAcentral.
GUGGAUCAACUUUGUAACUACGUGACACAUUCUUCAACUUGUGAGUCAUUUCUUCUUUUGGAAAGACAUUUGAAAUAGAGUCAUCUGUUUCUUUAUCUAGAUACAAUGUGCCAAUUGCUGGGGUCACCUAAUACUGGGAGAGGGUCAAAAGGAGACAUUCUUGAAACAAUUCAUUCUCAUUCCAAACUGACCAACUUAGCUUUCUAGAGCUGAAUCAUAACAUUCAUAGUCUAACAUAUUAGGCUAACUUAACAGAAGCCUGAACUACCAAGUCACUAAGGCAAGGCUGCUCCACACUAUUUUGAAACAGCUUUUAAAAAUUCCUUCAGUGUUUUCACAAUAUUUUUUCAAUAAUGAAGACCUACAUCCUCCUUAUGAUGUUUCUGCUGUUGCUGAUCACCAUUGUCAUCAUGAUUUGAUGAGCAGAAUGGCGACUUAGGAGCGUGGACUCAGGUGUGAAUUCCAGCUCUUCUAGCGACUGUGUGACCUUUAGGCAGUUACCUGGCCUCUCAGUUUGCUCAACUGUAAACUGGGAAGCACAUGUAAAGUGCCUAGAAGACUGUCUGUGUUGUGGCCAUCCUGCAGGAAGCUGCACAUCCAGAAAAUUGAAAGAAUAAAAAUGAUGAAGUACAGCCUGAGAUGUUAAAGAUUAUAGUGAAUAUCUGUUCGUCAGAAGCCCCAUGUAGUGGUCUAUUAAAGUCUGGAUGCAGAAAUCUAAAAAGACUGGAUUGUUGGCCUCAGACUGAAUUCCUAGAGGCUCUCAGAAGCCUGAAGCCAUGGUUUUCCGUUUCUGUCUCCAGUGAUAAGCUUAAAAGAGGAAUGAAGAAGAGGAUUUACUGGCUCAACCAGAAACAGAAACUAAGAAUCCAUGACUGUAUUCUCUCCCUUAGACACCCAAUAGCUUCUCUCUUCUAG